Molecule: ribosomal RNA, 643 nt
Filed under: uncultured archaeon
Lineage: Archaea
Description: bacterial SSU rRNA
Rfam family: Archaeal small subunit ribosomal RNA
Source: RNAcentral
UUUCCGGUUGAUCCCUGCCGGACCUUGACUGCUAUUCGGAUUGAUACUAAGCCAUUGCGAGUCAUUUGUAGGUAAUACAAGGGCAGACUGGCUCAGUAACGCCGUGUUCAACUCUAACCUAUGGACUGGGAAUAACCUCGGGAAAGCUGAGUAUAAUGCCCGAUAGAACAUUAUGUCCUGGUAAUGGUUUUAUGUUCCAAAUUGAUUUAUCGCUCGUAGGAUUGGGACUUGCGGCCUAUCAGUUGUGUUUGGUGAGGUUAAUGGCCCACCAAUGACUAUUACAGUGUUACGGUGCUCUGAGAGGAGGUAGCCCUGGAGAUGGGUACUUGAGACACUGGACCCAGUGCCCUAUGUGGGCGCAGUCAGUGCGAGUAAAACUUUUGCAAUUGUUGCGAAAGUCACGACAAUGGUUAAUCGCGAGUUGGUUUUCUGCUAUAUAGGAAUUUUGGUCUAGUCCUAUGAAACACUGUAUGAAUAGUAGUGGGUGGUGCAAGUUUCUGGUGUUCAGCUCGCCGUCGGUGAAAACCUAGAACCUUCAAGUUGGUCAUGGAUCGAUUAUUUGGGCCUAGAAGCAAUCCGUUAGCCGGGCUUCUGUAAGUUUUACGGUUUAAACUCUGUACCGCCUAUAACCGUACCAGGGCUG